This 154-nucleotide unclassified non-coding RNA is filed under the name Cimex lectularius (bed bug). Its description in RNAcentral is "Eukaryotic large subunit ribosomal RNA". It matches the Rfam family "Eukaryotic large subunit ribosomal RNA", at positions 3007 to 3161 of the family's 3401-position model. The record is from Rfam by way of RNAcentral. Lineage: Eukaryota; Metazoa; Arthropoda; Insecta; Hemiptera; Cimicidae.
GUCAUUGCUGUAGUAAUCCUGCUUAGUACGAGAGGAACCGCAGGUUCGGACAAUUGGUUCAUGCACUCGGUCGACAGGCCGGUGGUGCGAAGUUACCAUCCGUGGGAUUAUGCCUGAACGCCUCUAAGGCCGAAUCCCGACUAUGAGCAAUGAU